RNAcentral lists this microRNA (22 nucleotides) under Medicago truncatula (barrel medic). Its description in RNAcentral is "mtr-miR2585c". The record is from miRBase by way of RNAcentral. Lineage: Eukaryota; Viridiplantae; Streptophyta; Magnoliopsida; Fabales; Fabaceae.
CAGGAUUAGCGAUUACAGGGAC